CGCGUAGGCGGCUUGCCAAGUCAGGGGUGAAAUCUUUCGGCUUAACCGGAAAAUUGCUUUUGAUACUGGUGAGCUUGAGGGAGGUAGGGGCAGGUGGAACUUCCGGUGGAGCGGUGAAAUGCGUAGAUAUCGGAAGGAACGCCGGUGGCGAAAGCGACCUGCUGGACCUUUACUAACGCUGAGGCGCGAAAGCCAGGGGAGCAAACGGGAUUAGAUACCCCCGGUAGUCCUGGCCCUAAACGAUGGGUACUAGGUAGUGGACUUGACAUGGGUUCACUGCCGAAGCCAAAGUGCUAAGUACCCCGCCUGGGGAGUAUGGUCGCAAGGCUGAA
Molecule: ribosomal RNA, 332 nt
Filed under: uncultured bacterium
Lineage: Bacteria
Description: bacterial SSU rRNA
Rfam family: Bacterial small subunit ribosomal RNA
Source: RNAcentral